CAGACUUUACUCUGAAGGAUCAUUUCUUUAGUUGUUGACUGAGAAAUGUGUUUCUAAAGAGUUUGGUCUCACUGCCCACGAUGAAGAGCUGAGAUGUUUCCUUCAGAGCAGGAAGCUGGUGGGAAGACUUUGCUUCUUCUCCACUGAUGAAGACUGUUCAGAGUUUCUCUGAGACUCUGAUGAAGGAGACAUGAUCUGAGUGGU
Non-coding RNA from Tetraodon nigroviridis (spotted green pufferfish), 204 nucleotides. The record is from Rfam. NCBI's taxonomy places the organism in Eukaryota, Metazoa, Chordata, Actinopteri, Tetraodontiformes, Tetraodontidae.